Molecule: long non-coding RNA, 405 nt
Filed under: Ananas comosus (pineapple)
Lineage: Eukaryota; Viridiplantae; Streptophyta; Magnoliopsida; Poales; Bromeliaceae
Description: long non-coding RNA (ACOM_LNC044530)
Source: RNAcentral
AUAAUAUUUAAAUAUAAAUAAUAUUAUUAAUAUAGUAUAAUUAAUAAUUUUAUAACAAAAAAAUAUAUUAUAAUAUAUAACAUAUUAUAUUUAUAUAAUUUAGUUUUAAUUCAAUUCGUAAUUUUAAUUAAGUUUGAAAUUAAAUAUUGAAAUAGCACUAUUUCAUCAAAAUGGUGGAACAGCAAAUCCCAAUCUAUUCCGAAAUAGUCAGGAAUAGCAAUAUUUGAUCGAAAUAAAAUAUUCCUGCCAAAAAUUAUUUUGUUUGGCGGAAUAGCGAGGAUAACUUCCGUUAUCCCCGCUUAUACCGCCAACCAAACGGAGCCUAAAUGUGUCCACAACCCCUAAAUUUUAACCCAUUUUGAAAAUAAUCUUUUUCUAUUUUUUUUUAUAAUGUAUACUUUUUCU